GACGAACGCUGGCGGCGUGCCUAAUACAUGCAAGUCGAGCGAACCRAUAAGAAGCUUGCUUUUUGUUGGUUAGCGGCGGACGGGUGAGUAACACGUGGGUAACCUGCCUGUAAGAYCGGGAUAACUCCGGGAAACCGGUGCUAAUACCGGAUAGAUUAUCUUUCCRCCUGGAGAGAUAAGGAAAGAUGGCUUUUGCCAUCACUUACAGAUGGGCCCGCGGCGCAUUAGCUAGUUGGUGAGGUAACGGCUCACCAAGGCGACGAUGCGUAGCCGACCUGAGAGGGUGAUCGGCCACACUGGGNCUGAGACACGGCCCAGACUCCUACGGGAGGCAGCAGUAGGGAAUCUUCCGCAAUGGACGAAAGUCUGACGGAGCARCGCCGCGUGAGYGAAGAAGGUCUUCGGAUCGUAARGCUCUGUUGUUAG
RNAcentral lists this ribosomal RNA (426 nucleotides) under Bacillus sp. R-27370. RNAcentral's name for it is "bacterial SSU rRNA". It matches the Rfam family "Bacterial small subunit ribosomal RNA", at positions 28 to 442 of the family's 1533-position model. Lineage: Bacteria; Bacillati; Bacillota; Bacilli; Caryophanales; Bacillaceae. The record is from RNAcentral.